UGGGGAAUUUUGGACAAUGGGCGAAAGCCUGAUCCAGCAAUGCCGCGUGUGUGAAGAAGGCCUUCGGGUUGUAAAGCACUUUUGUCCGGAAAGAAAUCCUUGGCUCUAAUACAGUCGGGGGAUGACGGUACCGGAAGAAUAAGCACCGGCUAACUACGUGCCAGCAGCCGCGGUAAUACGUAGGGUGCAAGCGUUAAUCGGAAUUACUGGGCGUAAAGCGUGCGCAGGCGGUUUGCUAAGACCGAUGUGAAAUCCCCGGGCUCAACCUGGGAACUGCAUUGGUGACUGGCAGGCUAGAGUAUGGCAGAGGGGGGUAGAAUUCCACGUGUAGCAGUGAAAUGCGUAGAGAUGUGGAGGAAUACCGAUGGCGAAGGCAGCCCCCUGGGCCAAAUACUGACGCUCAUGCACGAAAAGCGUGGGGAGCAAAACAGGAUUAGAUACCCUGGUAGUCCACGCCCUAAAACGAUGUCAACUAGUUGUUGGGGAUUCAUUUCCUUAGUAACGUAGCUAAACGCGUGAAGUUGACCGCCUGGGGAGUACGGUCGCAAAGAUUAAAAACUCAAAGGAAUUGACGGGGUCAUAGCUGUUUCCU
RNAcentral lists this ribosomal RNA (592 nucleotides) under uncultured bacterium. RNAcentral's name for it is "partial 16S ribosomal RNA". It matches the Rfam family "Bacterial small subunit ribosomal RNA", at positions 355 to 1375 of the family's 1533-position model. The record is from RNAcentral.